RNAcentral lists this transfer RNA (72 nucleotides) under Marmota monax (woodchuck). RNAcentral describes it as "tRNA.Ala". It matches the Rfam family "tRNA". From Rfam's summary of the family: Transfer RNA (tRNA) molecules are approximately 80 nucleotides in length. Their secondary structure includes four short double-helical elements and three loops (D, anti-codon, and T loops). Lineage: Eukaryota; Metazoa; Chordata; Mammalia; Rodentia; Sciuridae. The record is from RNAcentral.
GGGGAUAUAGCUCAGUUGGUAGAGUGCUUGCCUUGCAUGCAAAAGGUCCUGGGUUUAAUCCCCAGCACCACA